RNAcentral lists this ribosomal RNA (253 nucleotides) under uncultured bacterium. RNAcentral's name for it is "partial 16S ribosomal RNA". It matches the Rfam family "Bacterial small subunit ribosomal RNA", at positions 524 to 776 of the family's 1533-position model. The record is from RNAcentral.
UACGUAGGGGGCAAGCGUUGUCCGGAAUCAUUGGGCGUAAAGCGCGUGUAGGCGGUUCGGUAAGUCGGCUGUGAAAGUCCAGGGCUCAACCCUGGGAUGCCGGUCGAUACUGCCGGACUAGAGUUCGGAAGAGGCGAGUGGAAUUCCCGGUGUAGCGGUGAAAUGCGCAGAUAUCGGGAGGAACACCAAUGGCGAAGGCAGCUCGCUGGGACGUUAUUGACGCUGAGACGCGAAAGCGUGGGGAGCAAACAGG